Molecule: long non-coding RNA, 242 nt
Filed under: Elaeis guineensis (African oil palm)
Lineage: Eukaryota; Viridiplantae; Streptophyta; Magnoliopsida; Arecales; Arecaceae
Description: long non-coding RNA (EGUI_LNC012357)
Source: RNAcentral
UUGCCCUAGUUCCAGCAAGCUGGUACACCAGUAAAAAAUUUUUCUCCACUAUAGCUUUCAGCAUUCUCAAAAAAAUAUCAAUAUAAAUAAUAAACAAUAGGACGAUGAUGACAAUCUAAUAAAUAAUAGGGCGAUGAGGACAAUCUCAUGUCAUAUCGAUUGAAUAAAAAAAUAACUCAAAUAAGAAAAGAAAUAAUACAACCUCAAAUUUAGUUAGUCCAAGCUUCAUGAAAAUCCAGCUA